CAUGAGUUAGAAAAUAAAUAUAAGAUAGCAAGCAUUCCAACAAACAAAUUUGAAUCGAUUUUUAAAAAAAAAUAAAUUUGAAUUUCCUCAAAAAUAAGAAAAAGAUAUAUCAUUAAAAUAAACUUAUCAAUAAAAUUACGAAUAGCAACAAUUCUCCUAACAUCCAUCAUUUCCUCUGGUACCAGCCAUCUCCAUAUUCUCCCUUUUUAAAAAAAUAUUUAUUGAUUUUGCCGCAAAAGAUGGCAUGUGAAUGUAUGGAAGGAAUUAUGGGCCAACUCAACGUGACGUGACAAUAAUAAUAAUUAAAAUGGCC
Molecule: long non-coding RNA, 313 nt
Filed under: Elaeis guineensis (African oil palm)
Lineage: Eukaryota; Viridiplantae; Streptophyta; Magnoliopsida; Arecales; Arecaceae
Description: long non-coding RNA (EGUI_LNC074672)
Source: RNAcentral